This 156-nucleotide ribosomal RNA is filed under the name uncultured Bacillota bacterium. RNAcentral describes it as "uncultured Firmicutes bacterium partial 16S ribosomal RNA". The record is from RNAcentral. Lineage: Bacteria; Bacillati; Bacillota.
CUGCUGGCACGUAGUUAGCCGUGGCUUUCUCUUACGGUACCGUCACUUACGACGGGUAUUGACCGUCGUACCAUUCGUCCCGUAUAACAGAACUUUACAACCCGAAGGCCGUCAUCGUUCACGCGGCGUUGCUCCGUCAGACUUUCGUCCAUUGCG